GACGAACGCUGGCGGCGUGCUUAACACAUGCAAGUCGAACGGAAAGGCCCUGCUUUUGUGGGGUGCUCGAGUGGCGAACGGGUGGGUAACACGUGAGUAACCUGCCCUUGACUUUGGGAUAACUUCAGGAAACUGGGGCUAAUACCGGAUAGGAGCUCCUGCUGCAUGGUGGGGGUUGGAAAGUUUCGGCGGUUGGGGAUGGACUAGCGGCUUAGCAGCUUGGUGGUGGGGUAGUGGCUUACCAAGGCUUUGACGGGUAGCCGGCCUGAGAGGGUGACCGGCCACAUUGGGACUGGGAUACGGGCCAGAGUCCUACGGGAGGCAGCAGUGGGGAAUAUUGCACACUGGGCGGAAGCCUGAAGCAGCAACGCCGCGUGCGGGAUGACGGCCUUCGGGUUGUAAACCGCUUUCGCCUGUGACGAAGCGUGAGUGACGGUAAUGGGUAAAGAAGCACCGGCUAACUACGUG
This 468-nucleotide ribosomal RNA is filed under the name uncultured bacterium. RNAcentral's name for it is "partial 16S ribosomal RNA". It matches the Rfam family "Bacterial small subunit ribosomal RNA", at positions 28 to 507 of the family's 1533-position model. The record is from RNAcentral.